Molecule: ribosomal RNA, 396 nt
Filed under: bacterium enrichment culture clone ALO1_GLFRUDD03FTMXE
Lineage: Bacteria
Description: bacterial SSU rRNA
Rfam family: Bacterial small subunit ribosomal RNA
Source: RNAcentral
GAGUUUGAUCGUGGCUCAGAUUGAACGCUGGCGGCAGGCCUAACACAUGCAAGUCGAGCGGAUGACGGGAGCUUGCUCCUUGAUUCAGCGGCGGACGGGUGAGUAAUGCCUAGGAAUCUGCCUGGUAGUGGGGGACAACGUUUCGAAAGGAACGCUAAUACCGCAUACGUCCUACGGGAGAAAGCAGGGGACCUUCGGGCCUUGCGCUAUCAGAUGAGCCUAGGUCGGAUUAGCUAGUUGGUGGGGUAAUGGCUCACCAAGGCGACGAUCCGUAACUGGUCUGAGAGGAUGAUCAGUCACACUGGAACUGAGACACGGUCCAGACUCCUACGGGAGCAGCAGUGGGGAAUAUUGGACAAUGGGCGAAAGCCUGAUCCAGCCAAUGCCGCGUGUGUG